GAUGAACGCUAGCUACAGGCUUAACACAUGCAAGUCGAGGGGAAACGGCAUUAAGUGCUUGCACUUUUUUGACGUCGACCGGCGCACGGGUGAGUAACGCGUAUCCAACCUUCCCAUGACUAAGGGAUAACCUGCCGAAAGGCAGACUAAUACCUUAUGGUCUUCACUGACGGCAUCAGAUGUGAAGUAAAGAUUUAUCGGUCAUGGAUGGGGAUGCGUCUGAUUAGCUUGUUGGCGGGGUAACGGCCCACCAAGGCAACGAUCAGUAGGGGUUCUGAGAGGAAGGUCCCCCACAUUGGAACUGAGACACGGUCCAAACUCCUACGGGAGGCAGCAGUGAGGAAUAUUGGUCAAUGGGCGAGAGCCUGAACCAGCCAAGUAGCGUGCAGGAUGACGGCCCUAUGGGUUGUAAACUGCUUUUGUAUGGGGAUAAAGUCAGUCACGUGUGAUUGUUUGCAGGUACCAUACGAAUAAGGACCGGCUAAUUCCGUGCCAGCAGCCGCGGUAAUACGGAAGGUCCGGGCGUUAUCCGGAUUUAUUGGGUUUAAAGGGAGCGUAGGCUGGAGAUUAAGUGUGUUGUGAAAUGUAGACGCUCAACGUCUGACUUGCAGCGCAUACUGGUUUCCUUGAGUACGCACAACGUUGGCGGAAUUCGUCGUGUAGCGGUGAAAUGCUUAGAUAUGACGAAGAACUCCGAUUGCGAAGGCAGCUGACGGGAGCGCAACUGACGCUGAAGCUCGAAGGUGCGGGUAUCGAACAGG
RNAcentral lists this ribosomal RNA (761 nucleotides) under Prevotella melaninogenica. Its description in RNAcentral is "bacterial SSU rRNA". It matches the Rfam family "Bacterial small subunit ribosomal RNA", at positions 28 to 776 of the family's 1533-position model. Lineage: Bacteria; Pseudomonadati; Bacteroidota; Bacteroidia; Bacteroidales; Prevotellaceae. The record is from RNAcentral.